RNAcentral lists this long non-coding RNA (693 nucleotides) under Portunus trituberculatus (swimming crab). RNAcentral describes it as "uncharacterized LOC123499786, transcript variant X1". The record is from RNAcentral. Lineage: Eukaryota; Metazoa; Arthropoda; Malacostraca; Decapoda; Portunidae.
GGGGAGUGUACUGAGAAUAACUCAGUAUCCCUACAUGGAAAGGUUUUCUUAGAUGGGGAAUUAUAAACCUAUUGAGAAAUAUUGUGUCAAUUACUUUUGUAUGUAGUCAUGUAUAUUAUAUUACGUGUUGUAAGAAUUAAAUUAAGGCAUACAAUGUAUUUCUAGGGUUAUUUAUGUUUUGUUAAUUAAGUGAGCGUUUCAUGGUUGUGGGUGAUGAGGUGGCAGGGACGCUACGUGGCAGGUGCUCACGCAGGCUCGGUCAGUUCCUAGUCGGUGAGGGGUGUGAUUAGUCGACGGACUGCGUUGGCUGGGGGUGUUACGUGAUUGUGUCGGAAGUAUCCUGUCGUUAGCUGGGUUGUGCUUGUGCCCCUGCUUGUGCACAAGUAGACGCGAGUUGAUCGAGUGGUGUGAAGGAUUGUGACGAAUGUACCCUGCCAGUAGACAGAUGUCUUCAUGUCUUCAUUUGGAUGGUGCUUUGGGUACUUAACGUGUGGGAUCCGAGGUGUUGUAACAUAGCAGUAACCAGGACGCUAGGAAGGGAGGCACUGUGUAAGUUAUAAUAAUGUAUUUCUUUAGUAUUUAAUGGUGUAGUAGCAGUCGACAGGAAUGUGCAUUAUAAAAUUGAUUCUCGGUAUUAGUUGUCUCAGACUUACUAUGGUUACAGGUUGGACCCAAUAAAGGUGUUUACUGCCA